Molecule: ribosomal RNA, 2007 nt
Filed under: human gut metagenome
Description: bacterial LSU rRNA
Rfam family: Bacterial large subunit ribosomal RNA
Source: RNAcentral
UAAAUACUCCCGAGAGACCGAUAGCGAACCAGUACCGUGAGGGAAAGGUGAAAAGAACCCCGAGCAGGGGAGUGAAAUAGACCCUGAACCCGUCUGCCUACAAGCGGUCGGAGCGUCGUAAUGACGUGACGGCGUGCCUUUUGCAUAAUGAACCUACGAGUUACCUUCCCCGGCAAGGUUAAGUUCUUGAGGAACGGAGCCGAAGCGAAAGCGAGUCUGAACAGGGCGCCAAGUCGGGGGGGGUAGACGCGAAACCGAGUGAUCUACCCUUGGCCAGGUUGAAGGUUGGGUAACACCAACUGGAGGACCGGAUGGGUAAGCGUUGAAAAGCUUUCCAAUGAGCUGAGGGUAGGGGUGAAAGGCUAAUCAAACUCGGAGAUAGCUCGUACUCCCCGAAAUGCAUUUAGGUGCAGCCUCUUUAUAGUAUAUCGUGAGGUAGAGCGACUGAUUGGAUGCGAGGGCUUCACCGCCUAUCAAGUCCAGAUAAACUCCGAAUGCGCGAUAUAUAUUUACAGGGAGUGAGGGCGCGGGUGCUAAGGUCCGUGUCCGAGAGGAGAAGAAUCCAGACCACCGGCUAAGGCCCCCAAAUGAUCGUUAAGUUGAACUAACGAGGUCGGAUCGCAGAGACAGCUAGGAUGUUGGCUUGGAAGCAGCCAUUCAUUUAAAGAGUGCGUAACAGCUCACUAGUCGAGCGAUCUGGCGUGGAUAAUAAUCGGGCAUAAACGAUCUGCCGAAGCCGUGGAUGUCGCAAGACAUGGUAGGGGAGCAUUCCAUGCGGCGUCGAAGAUGAGGGAUGACCCUUGUUGGAGCGCAUGGAAAAGCAAAUGUAGGUAUGAGUAACGAUAAGGGGGGCGAGAAACCCCCCCGCCGAAAGACCAAGGUUUCCUGAUCAACGCUAAUCGGAUCAGGGUGAGUCGGGACCUAAGGCAAAGCCGAACGGCGCCGCCGAUGGAAGAAUGGGUUAAUAUUCCCAUACUGCCUCAUGGAGUGACGUGGAGACGGAGAAGUGACAGUCCUGCCGGCUGACGGAAUAGCCGGUUGAAGGGUGUAGAUAUUGAUUCCCGUAGGCAAAUCCGCGGGGAGAGUCGAACCUGAGAGUAUACGGAGCGCUUGCGCAACGUAAUAUGGACGUAACCAUGCUCCCAAGAAAAUCCGCUAAACUUAUCCAUGCGGCACCCGUACCGUAAACGGACACACGUGGUCGGGUUGAGAAUACUGAGGCGCUCGAGUGAUUCACGGUUAAGGAACUAGGCAAAUUGACCCUGUAACUUCGGGAUAAAGGGUCCCAACGAGAGUUGGGCGCAGAGAAUAGGUCCAGGCAACUGUUUAACAAAAACACAGGGCUGUGCCAAAUUGAAAGAUUACGUAUACAGCCUGACACCUGCCCGGUGCUGGAAGGUUAAGAGGAGAUGUCAUCGCAAGAGAAGCAUUGAAUUGAAGCCCCAGUAAACGGCGGCCGUAACUAUAACGGUCCUAAGGUAGCGAAAUUCCUUGUCGGGUAAGUUCCGACCUGCACGAAUGGUGUAAUGAUCUGGACGCUGUCUCAACCGUGAGCUCAGUGAAAUUGUAGUAUCGGUGAAGAUGCCGAUUACCCGCGAUGGGACGAAAAGACCCCGUGAACCUUUACUAUAGCUUAACAUUGAAUUUGGGUAAUUGAUGUGUAGGAUAGGCCGGAGGCUUCGAAGCAGGUACGCCAGUAUUUGUGGAGCCGCUGUUGAAAUACGGCCCUUUGAUUAUUUGAGUUCUAACCCGUGGCUGCGGGGACACUGUUUGGUGGGUAGUUUGACUGGGGUGGUCGCCUCCAAAAGUGUAACGGAGGCUUCUAAAGGUGCCCUCACGACGAUUGGUAACCGUCGGCAGAGUGUAAUGGCAUAAGGGCGCUUGACUGGGAGACUAACAAGUCGAUCAGGUAGGAAACUAGAGCAUAGUGAUCCGGUGUUUCUGUAUGGAAAGGACAUCGCUCAAAGGAUAAAAGGUACUCCGGGGAUAACAGGCUGAUCCCUCCCA